This 255-nucleotide ribosomal RNA is filed under the name Anoxybacillus sp. ST4. RNAcentral describes it as "partial 16S ribosomal RNA". It matches the Rfam family "Bacterial small subunit ribosomal RNA", at positions 85 to 333 of the family's 1533-position model. Lineage: Bacteria; Bacillati; Bacillota; Bacilli; Caryophanales; Anoxybacillaceae. The record is from RNAcentral.
UGAAUCGUUAGCGGCGGACGGGUGAGUAACACGUGGGCAACCUGCCCUGUAGACGGGGAUAACACCGAGAAAUCGGUGCUAAUACCGGAUAAUACGAAAGGUCGCAUGAUCUUUCGUUGAAAGGCGGUGCAAGCUGUCGCUACAGGAUGGGCCCGCGGCGCAUUAGCUAGUUGGUGAGGUAACGGCUCACCAAGGCGACGAUGCGUAGCCGACCUGAGAGGGUGAUCGGCCACACUGGGACUGAGACACGGCCCA